CCUACGGGAGGCAGCAGUGGGGAAUCUUGCGCAAUGGGCGAAAGCCUGACGCAGCCAUGCCGCGUGAAUGAUGAAGGUCUUAGGAUUGUAAAAUUCUUUCACCGGGGACGAUAAUGACGGUACCCGGAGAAGAAGCCCCGGCUAACUUCGUGCCAGCAGCCGCGGUAAUACGAAGGGGGCUAGCGUUGCUCGGAAUUACUGGGCGUAAAGGGAGCGUAGGCGGACAUUUAAGUCAGGGGUGAAAUCCCAGAGCUCAACUCUGGAACUGCCUUUGAUACUGGGUGUCUUGAGUGUGAUAGAGGUAUGUGGAACUCCGAGUGUAGAGGUGAAAUUCGUAGAUAUUCGGAAGAACACCAGUGGCGAAGGCGACAUACUGGAUCAUUACUGACGCUGAGGCUCGAAAGCGUGGGGAGCAAACAGGAUUAGAUACCCUGGUAGUCCACGCCGUAAACGAUGAUUGCUAGUUGUUGGGAUGUUUACAUCUCGGUGACGCAGCUAACGCAUUAAGCAAUCCGCCUGGGGAUACGGUCGCAAGAUUAAAACUUAAAUGAAUUGACCGGNNGAGAGNGCGAGACGACGACGAGGGAGAG
RNAcentral lists this ribosomal RNA (590 nucleotides) under uncultured bacterium. Its description in RNAcentral is "bacterial SSU rRNA". It matches the Rfam family "Bacterial small subunit ribosomal RNA", at positions 338 to 946 of the family's 1533-position model. The record is from RNAcentral.